AAGGCUUUAGCUUAGUUAAAAGUACCUGGUUUGCGUUCAGGAGAUGUAGGGUAGUAUCUUGCAAGUCUUA
This 70-nucleotide transfer RNA is filed under the name Oreolalax omeimontis (Omei lazy toad). RNAcentral's name for it is "tRNA-Ala". It matches the Rfam family "tRNA". From Rfam's summary of the family: Transfer RNA (tRNA) molecules are approximately 80 nucleotides in length. Their secondary structure includes four short double-helical elements and three loops (D, anti-codon, and T loops). The record is from RNAcentral. Lineage: Eukaryota; Metazoa; Chordata; Amphibia; Anura; Megophryidae.